AGCAGCCGCGGUAAUUCCAGCUCCAAUAGCGUAUAUUAAAGUUGUUGCAGUUAAAAGCUCGUAGUUGAAUUUCGGGGUCAAUAAGUUGGUCAUGCCAAUGGUAUGCACUGGCUUUAUUGAUUCCUACCUCUUGACGAACUGUGAUGCCAUUAAUUUGGUGUUGCAAGGAAUCAGGACUGUUACCUUGAAAAAUUGAGUGUUUAAAGCAAGCUUACGCUUGAAUACAUUAGCAUGGAAUAAUGAAAUAGGACGUUUGAUCCUAUUUUGUUGGUUUCUAGGAUCGACGUAAUGGUUAAUAGGGAUAGUUGGGGGCAUUAGUAUUCAAUUGUCAGAGGUGAAAUUCUUGGAUUUAUUGAAGACUAACUACUGCGAAAGCAUUUGCCAAGGAUGUUUUCAUUAA
Molecule: unclassified non-coding RNA, 400 nt
Filed under: uncultured Diversispora
Lineage: Eukaryota; Fungi; Glomeromycota; Glomeromycetes; Diversisporales; Diversisporaceae
Description: SSU rRNA
Rfam family: Eukaryotic small subunit ribosomal RNA
Source: RNAcentral